Molecule: ribosomal RNA, 375 nt
Filed under: uncultured bacterium
Lineage: Bacteria
Description: bacterial SSU rRNA
Rfam family: Bacterial small subunit ribosomal RNA
Source: RNAcentral
UACGUAGGUGGCAAGCGUUGUCCGGAAUUAUUGGGCGUAAAGCGCGCGCAGGCGGCCUCUUAAGUCUGAUGUGAAAGCCCCCGGCUCAACCGGGGAGGGCCAUUGGAAACUGGGAGGCUUGAGUAUAGGAGAGAAGAGUGGAAUUCCACGUGUAGCGGUGAAAUGCGUAGAGAUGUGGAGGAACACCAGUGGCGAAGGCGACUCUUUGGCCUAUAACUGACGCUGAGGCGCGAAAGCGUGGGGAGCAAACAGGAUUAGAUACCCUGGUAGUCCACGCCGUAAACGAUGAGUGCUAGGUGUUGGAGGGUUUCCGCCCUUCAGUGCUGAAGCUAACGCAUUAAGCACUCCGCCUGGGGAGUACGGUCGCAAGGCUGA